This 519-nucleotide ribosomal RNA is filed under the name bacterium enrichment culture clone NKeF2N3. RNAcentral describes it as "bacterial SSU rRNA". It matches the Rfam family "Bacterial small subunit ribosomal RNA", at positions 1 to 500 of the family's 1533-position model. The record is from RNAcentral.
GUUGGCUGGAUUCGGCUUAGAGUUUGAUCCUGGCUCAGAUUGAACGCUGGCGGCAGGCUUAACACAUGCAAGUCGAGCGGAAACGAUCCUAGCUUGCUAGGAGGCGUCGAGCGGCGGACGGGUGAGUAAUGCAUAGGAAUCUGCCCAGUAGUGGGGGAUAGCCCGGGGAAACCCGGAUUAAUACCGCAUACGCCCUUUGGGGGAAAGCAGGGGAUCUUCGGACCUUGCGCUAUUGGAUGAGCCUAUGUCGGAUUAGCUAGUUGGUAGGGUAAAGGCCUACCAAGGCGACGAUCCGUAGCUGGUCUGAGAGGAUGAUCAGCCACACUGGGACUGAGACACGGCCCAGACUCCUACGGGAGGCAGCAGUGGGGAAUAUUGGACAAUGGGGGCAACCCUGAUCCAGCCAUGCCGCGUGUGUGAAGAAGGCUUUCGGGUUGUAAAGCACUUUCAGUGGGGAGGAAGGCGUGAUGGUUAAUACCCAUCAUGAUUGACGUUACCCACAGAAGAAGCACCGGCUAA